GAUUUUAGACCAAAUUUAUGGAGUUGUUACAGAUUUAUUCAUAAUAAAUAGUAUAAUUAUAAAGCUUUUAUUGGUAAAUUGCUCGUAUGUUAAAUUUGCCUUACCCAUAAACUUUUUAUAUCAUGAUUUAUUUCUAAUUAUCAAGUUUCUAUUACUAAUGGGCUCGACUGAACCCAUGAUGGAUAUGGAAAAAAGUACCUCUUAGUUUCCACAGAGCGGAAAGAGUGAAAAUAUACUAUAGUAGAAACUCGAUAAUUCGUCAUGUUCUGCAAUUUGUCACCUCGAAAAGGUUUUAUUUUUAGACACUGAACCCUAUUUCACACGUAAUGUGUAAUAGCCAGUUCUCGUUAAUUGCUGUAUUUAGUGUGUUUUCAUUGCGUUUACAGUUCAAAGUUUUGGUUCUCAUUUUACGUACUGUAUUCGGAUUAAUUAAAAGUGAAUUAUAUAUUCUGUAAUGGCUUUAAAAGGACCGUCUAAUCGCCAAUCUACUGAUCUACCAUUGAAAUUCGAAAUUCUACAGCGUCUUAGAAAAGGAGAAAGAGCCAGCCAACUCUGUAACAUUUUCAAACGACUUAAAAAAGAAUGGAGACAAAAUCGAAAAUCAAGAAUGGAACUUACCUAUGGUGACGUAAGUAAACUUAUUAGGCUUAUUCUACCGACAAACACAGAUUUAGAUGAAGCUAUUUACUUAUGGUUCAUACAAUAACGAACUUUAGGCGAGAUGGCUGGGAAAAUUUAAGAAGGAACACGGGUUUCGGCAGCUGUCUAUUCAAGGAGAAGUUACGAGUGAUGAUAGCGAAUGUAUUAAAAAUUAUUGCAAAAAAUUGAUCUCUCCGAUUUCAAAUUUAGGUUUAAAUAGAAUAGGUUUGAAUAAGUAACAUAAGCAGCACCCAUUGCAUUCUCGAUCUUGGAUACGUUAGCAUAUGUUCUAAAUGAAAGGUAAUCUCUCGGCUCACAAGUGUAUAACUGUGAUAAAAGCGAUCUGUAUCGGAUUGCUUUACCACCGAUAACUUCAGCGUGUGGUUCAGAAACUUUGGCUCCAGGAUAUAAAAUGAUGAAAGAAAGACUGACGAUUAUGGUUUGUUCAAAUGCAAGCUGAAAUCAUAAACCUCCAUUAAUAGUGGUUGGAAAAGCUAAGAAAUCAAGACCUCUAAAACAAUUUUAAUGGAAAAAUCUGUUGAUUAUUUCGGCCAAAAUAAAUGCAUAGAUGUAUUAAGAAAUUUUUACAAGCUUGUUUUGUUGUUCGGGUGAAAUCGUGUCUUAAUAACUCCUGUGCUUUUUGUGGAAAAUUUCUGAAAUUUUGCAGCCGACACGAGGAUUAAUAUCCGAAAGAAUUUACGAAAAACGUAGAAGAAUUUUAAAAAAUUGCAUUCUGUUUUCGGAACUCUUGUUUAUAAUUACUUCAAUAGUUUCAUUGGCUUGUGUAAUAAUUGCUGUUAUUGGCUUCAUGUCUUGGAAUCUCUUCUACUGGAUAUUUGGAAUCACAUCAGGAAUAUUUUGCUUUUCGAUUUUGAUGCGAAUGAUAUUAGGCUGCGUCAUAUAUCGUAUACCAGUAGAAAAUUUAGAUAGCCAGUAUAGUAAAAAGAAACCCGAGUUUCCUCCCGAAUUAUUCCACUGGACAUUAAGAAGAUAUUAAAAUGCAAACAAAGUCAUCCGCAAAAUAUUUUUAACCGUUAACUAUUUCGAAAUAUAUGUAAAUUUUGAUUUAAAAAAUUAUGAAAUUUCAUACGGUUA
RNA transcript from Centruroides sculpturatus (bark scorpion), 1734 nucleotides. RefSeq lists it as uncharacterized. Lineage: Eukaryota; Metazoa; Arthropoda; Arachnida; Scorpiones; Buthidae. The record is from RefSeq and is a predicted model, not a curated record. The transcript has 3 exons.